GUCUACGGCCAUGCCACCCUGAAUAAGCCUGAUGUCUGAUCAUGGAAGCUAAGCAGGGUUGGGCCUGGUUAGUACUUGGAUGGGAGACCACCUAGGAAGACCAGGUGCUGUAGGCA
Non-coding RNA from Pteropus alecto (black flying fox), 116 nucleotides. The record is from Rfam. Lineage: Eukaryota; Metazoa; Chordata; Mammalia; Chiroptera; Pteropodidae.